AGGAGCCGAAUGAAAUCAAAGUUUCACGUUCGGUUUUGAAUUAGAGACGUUCAAAAUGAUGAAUCAACGUCGACUAUAAC
Molecule: non-coding RNA, 80 nt
Organism: Rhizobium yanglingense
Lineage: Bacteria; Pseudomonadati; Pseudomonadota; Alphaproteobacteria; Hyphomicrobiales; Rhizobiaceae
Source: Rfam